UACAUAGGGUGCGAGCGUUGUUCGGAAUUACUGGGCGUAAAGGGCGCGCAGGCGGAAUAGUAAGUCGGAGGUGAAAGCCCGGGGCUCAACCCCGGAGGGUCUUUCGAAACUGCUAAUCUAGAGAGGGUCAGGGGCCGGCAGAAUUCCUGGUGUAGAGGUGAAAUUCGUAGAUAUCAGGAGGAAUACCGGUGGCGAAGGCGGCCGGCUGGGGCCACUCUGACGCUGAGGCGCGAAAGCGUGGGGAGCAAAC
Molecule: ribosomal RNA, 250 nt
Filed under: uncultured bacterium
Lineage: Bacteria
Description: partial 16S ribosomal RNA
Rfam family: Bacterial small subunit ribosomal RNA
Source: RNAcentral